This 432-nucleotide ribosomal RNA is filed under the name uncultured bacterium. Its description in RNAcentral is "partial 16S ribosomal RNA". It matches the Rfam family "Bacterial small subunit ribosomal RNA", at positions 29 to 507 of the family's 1533-position model. The record is from RNAcentral.
AACGAACGCUGGCGGCAGGCCUAACACAUGCAAGUCGAGCGGACCUUUCGGGGUCAGCGGCGGACGGGUGAGUAACGCGUGGGAAUAUGCCCUUCUCUACGGAAUAGUCCUGGGAAACUGGGGGUAAUACCGUAUACGCCCUUUGGGGGAAAGAUUUAUCGGGGAAGGAUUAGCCCGCGUUGGAUUAGGUAGUUGUGGGGUAAUGGCCUACCAAGCCGACGAUCCAUAGCUGGUUUGAGAGGAUGAUCAGCCACACUGGGACUGAGACACGGCCCAGACUCCUACGGGAGGCAGCAGUGGGGAAUCUUAGACAAUGGGGGCAACCCUGAUCUAGCCAUGCCGCGUGAGUGAUGAAGGCCUUAGGGUUGUAAAGCUCUUUCAGCUGGGAAGAUAAUGACGGUACCAGCAGAAGAAGCCCCGGCUAACUCCGUG